AUGUGUGAAAAGCCCCACUGUCGCAAGAAUAGACAAAGAAAAGGGGAAGGAGAGGAGAAGGAGAAUGAGAAAGAGAGGAGCUUGGUCUCCAUUAUGAAGACUAAGCCGCCUGCCCCAGGAAGCAGAAGGGGAAGGGCAAGGGCUGUGUCGCUGCCAAGGAAGCGGGCCAAGGAUUACGGCAAUGUCCCGCUCGCCGAGUUGUUAUUACGGGCAAUGGAGCAUGAUAGGCAAGUAGAGAAGGAUUAUGAAGAGGAGGAAGAGAAUGAGGAGGAAGAGGAUGACUAA
Molecule: ribosomal RNA, 285 nt
Filed under: Triticum aestivum (bread wheat)
Lineage: Eukaryota; Viridiplantae; Streptophyta; Magnoliopsida; Poales; Poaceae
Description: partial small subunit ribosomal RNA
Source: RNAcentral